CCUGGAGCCCGGUGAGGCCUUCACCGUCCGCAACAUCGCCAACAUGGUCCCGUCCUACUGCAAGGUAUGCCACCCGCAUAUAUAUAGCUUUACCGUUUUGGCCGGUCGCCUAGGUGCAUUAUUGACGUAUUUUGUUUCGGCUUUUGUCGACUGCAGAACAAGUACGCCGGUGUUGGGUCGGCCAUCGAGUACGCCGUGUGUGCCCUCAAGGUCAACCCUCUCUCCAGUGCUGUCACUUCAGAUAUGCUAGUACAUUAGUACUACUACUGUGAUAAUAAUGCAUUAUUGCACCAGUGAACAUAUCAUAUUGGACCCAGAUCUGGUGCCAAAUGGAGUUAGAAAAAUAAUGUACGUCCUAACUGUUGUAGCAUGCAUUGACUUUGGCAGGUUGAGGUCAUCGUGGUGAUUGGCCACAGCCGCUGCGGUGGAAUCAAGGCACUCCUCUCGCUCAAGGAUGGUGCAGAUGACAGCUUGUAAGUAUAGUAAAACACCUCAAAUCCCCACAGGGCGGUGAAUUACAGUAGUACAAAGCUUCUGUUGCUCUGUUAAUUCUGACUCGAGCUCUCCGGCCGUCUGUUUGAUCGUUCAGCCACUUCGUCGAGGACUGGGUCAGGAUCGGGUUCCCGGCCAAGAAGAAGGUGCAGACCGAGUGCGCCUCCAUGCCUUUCGAUGACCAAUGCGCCGUCUUGGAAAAGGUUCGUACGACCACAUGAUACUUUGUGAUGACUUGGCCACUGCUGGAAUACUCGAACUAUAUAUUCUGCUGACUUGCUGUGCUGACGAAGAAAAUAUUCUGGGAUUUCUACAGGAGGCCGUGAACGUGUCCCUCGAGAACCUCAAGACCUACCCGUUCGUCAAGGAAGGCGUCGCCAACGGAACCCUCAAGCUCGUGGGCGGCCACUACGACUUCGUCUCCGGCAAGUUCGACACAUGGGAGCUCUAAGUCCUCUCAUCCGGUUAACUCCUAUACAUACAACGUAUACUUAUACAUACAGAUAUGGAGAUGACCCUACAGAUCGAUCCAUUGAUGUGGAUGCGAUGCCAUGGAGUAUAUGUACUCGCUAUUUUCCAGUACUGCAU
This 1080-nucleotide long non-coding RNA is filed under the name Brachypodium distachyon (stiff brome). Its description in RNAcentral is "long non-coding RNA (BDIS_LNC002531)". Lineage: Eukaryota; Viridiplantae; Streptophyta; Magnoliopsida; Poales; Poaceae. The record is from RNAcentral.